CCUACGGGUGGCAGCAGUGAGGAAUAUUGGUCAAUGGGCGCGAGCCUGAACCAGCCAAGUCGCGUGAAGGAUGACUGCCCUACGGGUUGUAAACUUCUUUUAUAAAGGAAUAAAGUGAGGCACGUGUGCCUUUUUGUAUGUACUUUAUGAAUAAGGAUUGGCUAACUCCGUGCCAGCAGCCGCGGGAAUACGGAGGAUCCGAGCGUUAUCCGGAUUUAUUUGGUUUAAAGGGAGCGUAGAGGGGUUGUUAAGUCAGUUGUGAAAGUUUGCGGCUCAACCGUAAGAUUGCAAUUGAUACUGGCAGUCUUGAGUGCAGUUGAGGUAGGCGGAAUUCGUGGUGUAGCGGUGAAAUGCUUAGAUAUCACGAAGAACUCCGAUUGCGAAGGCAGCUUACUAAACUGCCACUGACAUUGAUGCACGAAAGUGUGGGUAUCAAACAGGAUUAGAUACCCUGGUAGUC
RNAcentral lists this ribosomal RNA (460 nucleotides) under uncultured bacterium. RNAcentral describes it as "partial 16S ribosomal RNA". It matches the Rfam family "Bacterial small subunit ribosomal RNA", at positions 338 to 795 of the family's 1533-position model. The record is from RNAcentral.